RNAcentral lists this ribosomal RNA (253 nucleotides) under uncultured bacterium. Its description in RNAcentral is "partial 16S ribosomal RNA". It matches the Rfam family "Bacterial small subunit ribosomal RNA", at positions 524 to 776 of the family's 1533-position model. The record is from RNAcentral.
UACAGAGGGUGCGAGCGUUAAUCGGAAUUACUGGGCGUAAAGGGCUCGUAGGCGGCCAACUAAGUCAGACGUGAAAUCCCUCGGCUUAACCGGGGAACUGCCUCUGAUACUGGAUGGCUUGAGAUUGGGAGAGGGAUGCGGAAUUCCAGGUGUAGCGGUGAAAUGCGUAGAUAUCUGGAGGAACACCGGUGGCGAAGGCGGCAUCCUGGACCAACACUGACGCUGAGGAGCGAAAGCCAGGGGAGCAAACGGG